GAGCACGUAGGUGGGUUUGUAAGUCAGAUGUGAAAGCCUUCUGUUCAACGAAAGAAUUGCAUCUGAAGCUGCGAGUCUUGAGUGUAGGAGGGGAGAAUGGAACUUCUGGUGGAGCGGUGAAAUGCGUAGAUAUCAGAAGGAACUCCGGCGGCGAAAGCGAUUCUCUGGCCUAUUACUGACACUCAGUGUGCGAAAGCUAGGGGAGCAAACGGGAUUAGAUACCCCGGUAGUCCUAGCCGUAAACGAUGGGCACUAAGUAGAGGGGUUUU
Molecule: ribosomal RNA, 269 nt
Filed under: uncultured Planctomycetales bacterium
Lineage: Bacteria; Pseudomonadati; Planctomycetota; Planctomycetia; Planctomycetales
Description: partial 16S ribosomal RNA
Rfam family: Bacterial small subunit ribosomal RNA
Source: RNAcentral